Molecule: long non-coding RNA, 1455 nt
Filed under: Mus musculus (house mouse)
Lineage: Eukaryota; Metazoa; Chordata; Mammalia; Rodentia; Muridae
Description: long non-coding RNA chr1:53791200-53792655
Source: RNAcentral
CUCAGGAUGACAUCCUCCAGAUACAUCCAUUUGCCUAAGAAUUUCAUGAAUUCAUUGUUUUUAAUUGCUGAGUAGUACUCCAUUGUGUAAAUGUACCACAUUUUCUGUAUCCAUUCCUCUGUUGAUGGACAUAUGGGUUCUUUCCAGCUUCUGGCUACUAUAAAUAAGGCUGCUAUGAACAUAUCCUAAACACAUUCUUACAGCCUGAUAAAGGUCACUGCUGCACCUCUUAAGGUUCCUGCUUACACUGAAGUUUGAGGCCUGGGUGGCUGAACCUCACAGGGCCCCUUACCUCAGCCUAUCUGUCACUGCUUCCUCUUCUGGGAGUCACCUGACUGCACAUGCAUCCCACCCACCCUCAGAGCAUCCGGCCACAUUUUUCUCUCUGCAGCUGUCUUUCCCAGCUGUCAACCACACUUUGUUUAAGGUCAUGCUUCAGAGUCUCCUUUCCAUUUGUAAACCAAAGCACUUAGUAGAAACUGCAGCAAAGCAGUGGAAGAGCUGCCUGCCAUACUGGCCACAAACACACCGAACCCCAUGGUCCUACAGGAGACAUGAGAGAGAGAAAGGGGAUGUAUACUUGACAUGGCUCAGGGUGUGGCGUCAUCUGCCAAUUCCUCUAUGACUUUGGAAAGUCCUCGGUUUUCUUAUUAAAAUGGAAAUGAAAGGGGCAGCUACCUCUGUAAGAUUGAAGUGUGAUACUGAAUACAAAAGCAUUGCCUGACAUGAUUAAGCAUGGCUCACCUGAUAGAGUUGCCACAAGGUCUGGCAGCUCCCUGCAUAGAAAGGCCAAGUAUACCCAGUGCAUUACUGCACCAAUGACUACCAAAUGCUGAAGACAUAGGAGGUGCUAAGUAACUGUAUAUCUAACAGCUAUGACAGAUCCCUGGGGUGGGGAAGUGGGAACAAGAGAUGGGCACAGUGAAGUAAGUCCCUGGGUAGUGAAGGGGAAGGCAAGGGGAUUGCUUCCAGUGUUUGCCUGGUUGAGGCACCAGAUGCAAAAAGAAGCUCUGCACUCAAUAAAUGGUGGAGCCCAGGGGCCAUGUGAGACAAGAGAUUAGACUGGGAUUUAAGGGAAGCAGAUGUGAGUGGAGCAAAGCCAUGAGAAAGGAGUGUAUGACUGUCAUCAAUUUGACUUGAGCUAGAUCGUGCCUGCCAGCCUUCCCCAGCAGAUCUUCUGUUUCGCUUUCCUAAGAAACUCUGUCAACCAGACACAUGUGUCAUGGCAUGACAUGGUGUCCUGUUUCUUGGAGUGAAUACCAGGUAAAGAAAUAUUAAAUUUUCUUCACUACAUUUUCAUAAAAUAGGCAAUAAUAGGUAUAGCUGAGCUAAAGCUACCUUCUAAACAAUUCCCUUCUUAGGAGUGGCCUCUGUCUCAUCUGGUUUAAGACAAUGUCACAGGCAUCCAGGAAGGCAGUCUGUAUGUCAACUGGACACAGGCUGGAGUUACCACAG